UCGUAACAAGGUCUCCGUUGGUGAACCAGCGGAGGGAUCAUUACCGAGUUUACAACUCCCAAACCCCUGUGAACAUACCACUUGUUGCCUCGGCGGAUCAGCCCGCUCCCGGUAAAACGGGACGGCCCGCCAGAGGACCCCUAAACUCUGUUUCUGUAUGUAACUUCUGAGUAAAACCAUAAAUAAAUCAAAACUUUCAACAACGGAUCUCUUGGUUCUGGCAUCGAUGAAGAACGCAGCAAAAUGCGAUAAGUAAUGUGAAUUGCAGAAUUCAGUGAAUCAUCGAAUCUUUGAACGCACAUUGCGCCCGCCAGUAUUCUGGCGGGCAUGCCUGUUCGAGCGUCAUUUCAACCCUCAAGCACAGCUUGGUGUUGGGACUCGCGUUAAUUCGCGUUCCUCAAAUUGAUUGGCGGUCACGUCGAGCUUCCAUAGCGUAGUAGUAAAACCCUCGUUACUGGUAAUCGUCGCGGCCACGCCGUUAAACCCCAACUUCUGAAUGUUGACCUCGGAUCAGGUAGGAAUACCCGCUGAACCUAAGCAUAUCA
This 545-nucleotide unclassified non-coding RNA is filed under the name Fusarium oxysporum. Its description in RNAcentral is "sequence contains 18S rRNA gene, ITS1, 5.8S rRNA gene, ITS2, 28S rRNA gene". The stretch from base 192 to 345 matches the Rfam family "5.8S ribosomal RNA". Lineage: Eukaryota; Fungi; Ascomycota; Sordariomycetes; Hypocreales; Nectriaceae. The record is from RNAcentral.